RNAcentral lists this long non-coding RNA (749 nucleotides) under Homo sapiens (human). RNAcentral describes it as "non-protein coding ENTPD3-AS1:26". The record is from RNAcentral. Lineage: Eukaryota; Metazoa; Chordata; Mammalia; Primates; Hominidae.
AGUUACAAAUAUGGCGUUUUGGACGGGCUCGAUAGUUUGCUUGGCCUCUACUCAAGGAAUGCUGAUGGUAUAGCAAGAAGGUAUUCUGAGCAUUAUAUCAAUGGGGAAGUUCUAGAUCUUUUGCAAAGCAGGAGCAAGCUGCCCUGUUGUGAGCUCUCCGGUGGAGAGCCCCACAUGGCAAGAAAAUGAGAAGCCCCCUGAACAGACAAGAGCUGAGGCCCAGGAUACAAUAUCCUGAAAAAAACUGAAUCCUGCUGACAGUUGCCCAAGUGAAGCUGGAAGUGGAUCUUUCUGCAGUGGAUCCUUGAGAUGACUGUAGCCCUGGCUGACAACUUGAUUGCUGCCUGUGAAGGACCCUGAACCAGAGGACUCAGCGAAAUUGUGCCCAGAUUCCUGACCUACAGAGGCAGUGAGAUAAUAAAUGCUGUUGAGGUCACAAAGUUUUGAGGUAUUUGUUAAUACAGCAAUGGAUACUUAAUACAGCUUCCUACAUGGUCUCCCUCCUUCGACCUUUACACUACAAUCUGUCGUCCACACAGCAGUCAGAGAUCCUUUUAAAACAUAAGUCAGAUCAUCAUGACACUCACCUCCCUGCUAAGUGUCCUGCAAGGCCUUUCACGGUCUGAUCCCCUAUCCUUUCUCUUUCCUCAUCUCCUAUCACUCUUGCCCUUGCAAAUUUUCUUCCAGCACUCUGGCCUCCUUGCUGUUCUUCAGUAUGGCAAGCAACCUGCUGCCCGGAGCCCACACAC